CAGCACCAGACGUCAUUUGGACGUCGUUUUCUGGUCUAAAUCAAGUCGGCCCGUCAUGGCCAUCUUUUAGACCAAAAAGCGACGUUGAAAAUUGGUCUUCGUCUGGUCCGUCGGAUUUGGUCCAAAUUAAGCCCAAAAAGCGACGUUGAAAAUUGGUCUUCGAUUGGUCCGUCGGAUUUGGUCCAAAUUAAGACCAAAAAGCAACAUUUAACGUCUUUUUAUUUUAUUUAUUUUAUUUUUUUUAUCCAAAUUUAGCCCAAAAACAGAUGUAGAUGGGCUUUAGUCCAAAUUUAGCAGAAAAAAAACUUUUAUUUCGCACCACAAAGCCAUUAACAUAAACUAGUGAAGAAAUAUAUUAGACAUCAUGUCUGAAGCACUGUUAAAUAUAUUGAAAUAUAUUUUGAAAACACUUGAUGGUCACGCGCUGAACUGCAGCUGAGGAAGUCACCAUGGAAACGGGGCGCAGCUCAACCGUCAAGCAGCUGAACGGACGCUGUCUCUCAUGGUUGUUUUCACUAAUUUCAGAGAAAUGGUCAGUGUCUUCUGAAAAAGUCCGUUAGCAUCUCAACUGUAAUGCUAACUACAAGAGUUAUUUUGAUGUCCACACUGUAAGAGUAUUACUCGAUUCUUCCAUGCUGAUGGCCGUGCGUGUAUCCAGCUGAAGAACAUUUUUUAGACAUUAUCAAACAUAUGACUAAGUUUAGCUCCAACCCCAGUUAAGCAGACCUGAGCAGCUGAUCAAGGAUCAGCAGAAACUCUGCAGAACGGUGGUCCUCCAGCCCAGGACUGGACACCAGUGUUAUGCUGGAGAAAAAACAGUGAGGAUAAAGCAUUCAAAGUGGAAACAUCUCCCGUGGCUCAUUAAUCCUGAAUUGGGAUGGAGGAAGGAGCAGAAGAAGCAGCAGAUCAGAGAUCAGGCAGAGAUCUACUGGUGCCUCUGUGGGAACCCCAUUUACCUACUGUGUUUUUUAAACCAAAGAUUUUCCUCACUUAUCUUCAUAUUGUUCCAAGCCAGACUUUUGGUCAUCUUUGAAACAUAAAUGCAGAACUUUUUAAUGAAAUCUGAGAAUUCUUUUAAAUAUAAAAUAACGCAUUCACACAAGCACCAUGAUGCAUCAGUGUUGCAUCGGCAUGAGA
Long non-coding RNA from Carassius auratus (goldfish), 1137 nucleotides. RefSeq lists it as uncharacterized. Lineage: Eukaryota; Metazoa; Chordata; Actinopteri; Cypriniformes; Cyprinidae. The transcript has 6 exons. The record is from RefSeq and is a predicted model, not a curated record.